UGGGGAAUAUUGCACAAUGGGCGCAAGCCUGAUGCAGCCAUGCCGCGUGUAUGAAGAAGGCCUUCGGGUUGUAAAGUACUUUCAGCGGGGAGGAAGGGAGUAAAGUUAAUACCUUUGCUCAUUGACGUUACCCGCAGAAGAAGCACCGGCUAACUCCGUGCCAGCAGCCGCGGUAAUACGGAGGGUGCAAGCGUUAAUCGGAAUUACUGGGCGUAAAGCGCACGCACGCGGUUUGUUAAGUCAGAUGUGAAAUCCCCGGGCUCAACCUGGGAACUGCAUCUGGUACUGGCAAGCUUGAGUCUCGUAGAGGGGGGUAGAAUUCCAGGUGUAGCGGUGAAAUGCGUAGAGAUCUGGAGGAAUACCGGUGGCGAAGGCGGCCCCCUGGACGAAGACUGACGCUCAGGUGCGAAAGCGUGGGGAGCAAACAGG
Molecule: ribosomal RNA, 429 nt
Filed under: Chloroflexota bacterium
Lineage: Bacteria; Bacillati; Chloroflexota
Description: Chloroflexi bacterium partial 16S ribosomal RNA
Rfam family: Bacterial small subunit ribosomal RNA
Source: RNAcentral